RNAcentral lists this ribosomal RNA (216 nucleotides) under uncultured bacterium. RNAcentral's name for it is "partial 16S ribosomal RNA". It matches the Rfam family "Bacterial small subunit ribosomal RNA", at positions 1285 to 1500 of the family's 1533-position model. The record is from RNAcentral.
GUCCCAGUUCGGAUCGCAGGCUGCAACCCGCCUGCGUGAAGUUGGAAUCGCUAGUAAUCGCGGAUCAGCAUGCCGCGGUGAAUACGUUCCCGGGCCUUGUACACACCGCCCGUCACACCAUGAGAGUCGGGAACACCCGAAGUCCGUAGCCUAACCGCGAAGGGGGCGCGGCCGAAGGUGGGUUCGAUAAUUGGGGUGAAGUCGUAACAAGGUACC